UCGAUUCAAUAGUUUGUCCUAGCUCCCUGCAAACAAGGGAAGAAUGUUCGGUUUGGGUAAGCUCUUUUCGAACAGGUUAUUUCGGUAAAGAGGGAGACAAAGCCUUUUCACUUCAACUAAUCGUUGAUUGCAGGUAAGCCUGAAGCUUUGAGACGGCUGAUGUCGGUAUUGUGUAGGGCAGUAGGUCGGGGCCUGAGCCCCCCCAAACUAAAAGGGGAAAAGGGAGGGGCCUUAGAGGGAAGCCUAUCAAAGAAAGAAGAAGCUAAGCAGACUGACAGCGCCCAGAGCUCGUUAGUUAGGUUCUGAUGCUUCGAAAAGGAAUCAACCUAGGACUCCAUUUUCGAAUAAGAAGCAUUUCCGGGGCUUCAGCCUUUGAUGGACAAAAGGGCUAAAGUCACAGCUUCAGAAGUCAGUUUUCAUCACCUUACAAUCUCUGGUUUUUCUAAUCUGACUUUAUUCAAGAAAAUCUUUCUUCUCUGUUGGCCACCACGUUUCGGGGGGGGCUACAGAGGGGGGGUUGCAGUAGUAGCGGUGGGCGGUUUACCUUUCUACCCUAGAGGUAAAUUAAAGCAUCUAUCGGUAUGAAUACGAAAUGACUUUUCUUCUCUAUGGCCUUCGCUUCCAAGACUACUUUCUUUUUCUUUUUUUUUUUAUCCACCAGGAAAUGCUGCUUUGCCUUCAACGCUUGGAAAAGAUUUUCUAUUUCGAAUUCGAGUUGUUCAGUCAGUGUAAGGCACCCAGUGAUGCUAGGCUAGGUGUCACGGUUUGUGAGUUCUUGAUAUUGAAAUCACGCGUCCAUACGUCAUCAAAUCUACUCAUAAUCAAGGUUAAUUUUUCGUGAGUCAAUUUUUUUUAGACAGUUCAAUUUCAAUCUGUCAAACCGCAUAUAUAAGAGCAUUUUCUUUGGCUUUGACUUUCGUUAGAUUACUCAUUCCAAACUCUAGAGGAAGGAAUCCAACUCUUGUCACUCAUCCACCUAUAAUUCUCAAAGUGGUCUCGAGCACCCAUCUUUGUCCGCAGGGCUUAAAGUCUUAAGCAUCGACCCUCGAAUACCCGUGAGGCACGCAGCUCUGAUUCUCAUGAUAUUAUUACUUCUUGACAUUGUGAGAACCCAACAUCAUGCCCACUCGUAUCGUAUGCAAACUCUUGUAUCAAGUUUAUGCAAGCGCAACACUUAUGCUGGUCAACAACCAGCUCGAAGCCUGUAGGCUCAUCUUAUCUCACCGAACUCAAUUUUUAGGGCUCAGGCCCUUAGCUUCAAUGUAGACUGCCCGUACGCAUGAUUGACACCCAACAUGAUGCAAAUCUCGUAAGAGGGACUUGGGUGGGCUACCCCAAUUGCAGCACACCUCUACCGGUUGGCCACAAGGGUCUAGCAAAGUGCCUGCCUGCUAGCCUGCACAUCCCUUAGGCUCAAUGGCGUCCUUCCUGCACAAACACCAUUUCAUGAUCCUUUUAGCUUAGGGAAGAGAAAUCGGGGGGCAUAGCAAACUCUAUUGCGUAAUCUCAUGGCUCAACGCGAAGACACGAUACGAGGCCCACUAGCUCCAACCGUCCCCGGGUUUACCAUGACCCAAGGAAAUAUCGUGUCACGCUUAUGACCCUACGAUGCCUGCCCACCUAGACACCACUAGUGCCUAGGAGCAGCUCACUUCAAACUAGCCAAGCCCUUGUCUACCCGCUAGCCAAGGGGGUGGUGGAGAGUUGACACCAGUCAUCCCCCUCUAAAGAACAUAAAAGAUUUUCUCAGUCUCCUACCAAUAAUCGUAAGAUUGUCUGAAAUAAAGAUACUUUUCUCUCCAGCCAUCUUAGGGCCUUUCUCUAGCUAACUCAAGGCCCAUAACCUUCAUCUUAGUCAUCAUUAUUCCUUGAUUCUACUCGUUGUUUCACCAACCCACUCGAAAAUGCUCGCACAUGGCUUCGACCGACAACACCUGACUGGCUAGCUGGUCCCAAGGCACCGACACACUGCCUUACACUUAUCAGCGUAUCUUAGAGUUUAGGGCUCAAACUAUCCACACAUAAUAUCUCUUACAUAUUCUCAUGCUCAGAAUGCCCAUACAUUGCUUCCACUGAUGGCCCCCGCCAGACUACUUGGCUCGAGGGUGCUUGACCAGUGUCUCGAACUUAUCUACGUAUCUUGCCAACCAGGGCUUUCACUACCCGCACAACAUAUUAGUAACCUGUUCCAAUGCUCCAAAUGCACUCCCGUAUCUCUUAAAACCAUUUUUUCGCCAGCUUGGUCUCGAUUGUUGCUCAGCUCAGGGUUAGUCAUGGCAAGACCAAGGCACACCAAAGCCUGACCAUGACACUCUUCCCGGAGGGGUGGGCAUGGCUUAAGAGGCGCGGUAGCAGUGGGCGGUUUACCUUUCUACCCUAAGAGGUAAAUUAAAGCAUCUAUCGGUAUGAAUACGAAAUGACUUUUCUUCUCUAUGGCCUUCGCUUCCAAGACUACUUUCUUUUUCUUUUUUUUUUAUCCACCAGGAAAUGUUGUUUUGCCUUCAACGCUUGGAAAAGAUUUUCUAUUUCGAAUUCGAGUUGUUCAGUCAGCACCCAGUGAUGCUAGGCUAGGUGUCACGGUUUGUGAGUUCUUGAUAUUGAAAUCACGCGUCCAUGCGGCACCAAAUCUACUCAUAGUCGAGGUCAAUUUUUCGUGAGUCAAUUUUUUUUUAGACAGUUCAAUUUCAAUCUGUCAAACUGCAUAUAUAAGAGCCUUUUCUUUGGCUUUGACCUUCGUAAGAUUACUCAUUCCAAACUCUAUAGGAAGGAAUCCAACUCCUGUCACUCAUCCACCUAUGAUUCUCAAAGUGGCCCCGAGCACCCAUCUUUGCCCGCAAGGCUUAAAGUCUUAAGCAUCAACCCUCGAAUACCCGUGGGGCACGCAGCCCCGAUUCUCAUGAUAUUAUUACUUCUUGACAUUGUGAGAACCCAACACCAUGCCCACUCGUAUCGUAUGCAAACUCUCGUAUCAAGUUUAUGCAAGCAUAACACUUAUGCUGGUCAGCAACCAGUUCAGAGCCUGUAGGCUCAUCUUAUCUCACCGAACUCAGUUUUUAGGGCUCAGGCCCUUAGCUUCAAUGUAAACUGCCCGUACGCAUGAUUGACACCCAACAUGAUGCUAGUCCCGCAAGAGGGACUUAGGUGGGCUACCCCGACUGCAGCACACAUCUACCGGUUGGCCACAAGGGUCUAGCAAAGUGCCUGCCUGCUAGCCUGCACAUCCCUUAGGCUCGAUGGCGUCUUUCCUGCACAAACACCAUUUUCAUGAUCCUUCUAGCUUAGGGAAGGGAAAUCGGGGGACAUAGCAAACUCUAUUGCGUAAUCUCAUGGCUCAAUGCGAAGAUACGAUACGAGGCCCACCAGCUCCAACCGUCCUCGGGUUUACCAUGACCCAAGGAAAUAUCGUGUCACGCUUAUGACCCUACGAUGCCUGACCAUCUAGACACCACUAGUGCCUAAGAGUAGCUCACUUCAGACUAGUCAAGCCCUUGUCUACCCGCUAGCCAAAGGGGUGGUGGAGAGCUAACACCAAUCAUCCCCCUAUAAAAAACGUAAGAGAUUUUCUUAGUCUCCUACUAAUAAUCAUAAAAUUGUCUGAAAUAAGGACACUUUUCUCUCCAGCCAUCUUAGGGCCUUUUUUCUGGCUAACUCAAAGCCCAUAACCUUCAUCUUGGUCAUCAUUAUUCCUUGAUUCUACUCGUUGCUUCACCAACCCACUCGAAGAUGCUCGCACAUGGCUUCGACCGACAACACCUGACUGGCUAGCUGGUCCCAGGGCACCGACACACUGCCAUAUACUUACCAGCGUAUCUUAGAGUUUAGGGCUCAAACUAUCCACACACAAUAUCUCUUACAUAUUCUCAUGCUCAGAAUGCCCAUACAUUGCUUUCGCUGAUGGCCCCCGCCAGACUACUUGGCUCGAGGGUGCUUGAGCAGUGUCUCGAACUUACCUACGUAUCUUGCCAUCCAGGGCUUUCAUUACCUGCAUAACAUAUUAGUAACCUGUUCCAAUGCUCCAAAUGCACUCCCGUAUCUCUUAAAACUACUUUUUCACCAACAUGGUCUCGAUUGUUGCUCAGUUCAGGGUUAGUCAUGACAAGACCAAGGCACACCAAAGCCUGACCAUGACACUCUUCUCGGGGGGGUGGACGUGGCUUAAGAGGCUAGGUAGCAGUGGGCGGUUUACCUUUCUACCUUAAGAGGUAAAUUAAUGCAUCUAUCGGCAUGAAUACAAAAUGAAUUUUCUUCUCUAUGGCCUUAACUUCGCUUCCAAGACUACUUUUUUUUCUUUUUUUUUAUCCACCAGGAAAUGCUGCUUUGCCUUCAGCGCUUGGAAAAGAUUUUCUAUUUCGAAUUCGAGUUGUUCAGUCAGCACCCAGUGAUGCUAGGCUAGGUGUCAUGAUUUGUGAGUUCUUGAUUUUGAAAUCACGCGUCCAUGCGGCACCAAAUCUACUCAUAGUCGAGGUCAAUUUUUUGUGAGUAAAUUUUUUUUUAGACAGUUCAAUUUCAAUCUGUCAAACCGCAUAUAUAAGAGCCUUUUCUUUGGCUUUGACCUUCGUAAGAUUACUCAUUCCAAACUCUAUAGAAAGGAAUCCAACUCCUGUCACUCAUCCACCUAUGAUUCUCAAAGUGGCCCCGAGCACCCAUCUUUGCCCGUAGAGCUUAAGGUCUUAAGCAUCGACCCUCGAAUACCAGUGGGGCACGCAGUCUCGAUUCUCAUGAUAUUAUUACUUCUUGACAUUGUGAGAACCCAACACCAUGCCCACUCGUAUCGUAUGCAAACUCUCGUAUCAAGUUUAUGCAAGCACAACACUUAUACUAGUCAGCAACCAGUUCGGAGCCUGUAGGCUCAUCUUAUCUCACCGAACUCAGUUCUUAGGGCUUAGGCCCUUAACUUCAAUGUAGACUGCCCGUACGCAUGAUUGACACCUAACAUGAUGCUAGUCCUGUAAGAAAGACUUAGGUGGGCUACCCCAACUGAAGCACACCUCUACCGGUUGGCCACAAGGGUCUAGCAAAGUGUCUGCCUGCUAGCCUGCACAUCUCUUAGACUCGAUGGCGUCCUUUCUGCACAAACACCAUUUCAUGAUCCUUUUAGCUUAGGGAAGGGAAAUCGGGGGGCAUAGCAAACUCUAUUGCGUAAUCUCAUGGCUCAACGCGAAGACACGAUACGAGGCCCACCAGCUCCAACUGUCCCCGGGUUUACCAUAACCAAGGAAAUAUCGUGUCACGCUUAUGACCCUACGAUGCCUACCUACCUAGACACCACUAGUGCCUAGGAGCAGCUCACUUCAAACUAGCCAAGCCCUUGUCUACUCGCUAGCCAAUGGGGUGGUGAAGAGCUGACACCAGUCAUCCCCCUAUAAAGAACGUAAGAGAUUUUCUCAGUCUCCUACCAAUAAUCGUAAGAUUGUUUGAAAUAAAGACACUUUUCUCUCCAGCCAUCUUAGGGCCUUUCUCUAGCUAACUCAAGGCCCAUAACCUUCAUCUUAGUCAUCAUUAUUCCUUGAUUCUACUCGUUGCUUCACCAAUCCACUCGAAGAUGCUCGCACAUGGCUUCGACCAACAACACCUGACUGGCUAGCUGGUCCCAGGGCGCCGACACACUGCCUCACACUUUUCAACGUAUCUUAGAGUUUAAGGCUCAAACUAUCCACACACAAUAUCCCUUACAUAUUCUCAUGCUCAGAAUGCCCAUACAUUGCUUCCACUGAUGGCCCCCACCAGACUACUUGGCUCGAAGGUACUUGACCAGUGUCUCGAACUUACCUACGUAUUUUGCCAUCCAGGGCUUUCACUACCCGCACAAUAUAUUAGUAACCUGUUCCAAUGCUCCAAUGCACUCCCGUAUCUCUUAAAACCAUUUUUUUGCCAAUUUGGUCUCGAUUGUUGCUCAGCUCAGGGUUAGUCAUGGCAAGACCAAGGCACACCAAAGCCUGACCAUGACACUCUCUCCUACAUAUUAUGUCGAUGCCCUCAUCAACGUCAGACCACACCCAACUCUCUUGUUACAUACAGUCGACAUUUACUCGUAUGUCUUUCAUUUGUGCCCUUAAGGGAUUGGGUCAAGGUCUCGUCACAUGGGGCACCACCCGCAGUACUCAUCUAUUGUUGAUGUAGAUUGGUCACAUCCUAGCACCAAUACACCUUCGUUCUGUUCCUACUAAGACCGUCUCACCUUAUCUUGGUUGUUGCAUAUGUGCCACAACAUUGCUUCCUUUGAUCAUAUCAUGUUACGACCUCAAGGCACCCUCAUUGAUCAAUGACCUUUAGUAAAAUGAAUGGCCACCCGCUUUGCCACUCAUUGGUGCGUCCCACUGGACGUGACCUCUCACACCAACUGCAUGCCUGCAACAUCGACUCUUCGAUGCACCCUUUGAAACGUGGUGCUUAGGCCAACCGCACUCAUUCAGCACCACACACAAUAGACCCUUGCACGGUGGCUUUCAGACACGUUGGUUAUCUCAUAACUUGGGUCCUCUCGGCCCCUCUAAGGUCACCUCUCUAGGUGUGGCCGUCUGGCUAACUGCCUUGAUAGUGGCACUUUAAUGCGCGCUAACUCAGUCUCUGUCGUGAAUACAAACACAAUGUUCAAUCAACUUAGUCUCCUCUACCUUGUCUCAAUCCCAUGGGGAAUCACAAGUCUCCCUCACUUUUACUCGAAACUCAGUUCAGCACUAAACGCAACCAUGUUUUCUCGAUGGUUCUCCAGUUCAUCUGCCUUAACUCUGGCAUAGCCUCUAGGGCAUAUCAAAAUCCAUUCCAUACUCAA
Molecule: long non-coding RNA, 6772 nt
Filed under: Durio zibethinus
Lineage: Eukaryota; Viridiplantae; Streptophyta; Magnoliopsida; Malvales; Malvaceae
Description: long non-coding RNA (DZIB_LNC002245)
Source: RNAcentral